RNAcentral lists this long non-coding RNA (302 nucleotides) under Physcomitrium patens. Its description in RNAcentral is "long non-coding RNA (PPAT_LNC001289)". The record is from RNAcentral. Lineage: Eukaryota; Viridiplantae; Streptophyta; Bryopsida; Funariales; Funariaceae.
CCAAUUCAAAACAACUCAAAGAAAUUUCAAACAAACAAUAAAAUUCUUAAAGAAAUAUUAGAAUGAUCACAAAUUUUACUCAAAUAUAUGUCAAUUCAACCUUAAUUUAAUUCCAGUUAAAAUCCUAUUGAAUUUCACUCAACUUUAGACAAAACCUAAUUAAAUCUUAAAUCCUAAUAAUUCCUAAACCCUAAGUCAAAUCCUAAACAAAUCUUAAAUUAAAUCCUAUUUCAAAUCCUAAACCUUAAACCAAAUCCUAAAUCAAACCCUAAACCAAAUCCUAAUCUAACUCUAAAUCCUAA